GCCAUCAGGAGGACUGAAACUGUAAACACAAGCUGGUAUUUUGGUGUGAUCACGCUAAUAUGGCGGUUUGUGAGGUCAAGGGGUGGAAGUUACAGGUAGGCAAUAUAUCUUUAACCAAAGUUGUGCUAGAUGGGGUCUUCAAGGUUAUUUGGAUUUUGAUGUACUAAGAAAAUAUCCUCAGUAGAAAAAUACCAGAAAUGGCAUUCCAACUCACCCUACCAAGGACAAGAAGCAGAUCAUUAGGAACAGAUAUAUUGGAGCUUGGCCCUGUAAAAACAUAGGAUAGCUAACAAAUACAUAAAAUUAGUUGUAUGGCCUCAUUUAUUCCUUCAUAGAGAUACAGCUCCUGGCAACCACCAUUCUACUUGAUGCCUCUAUGAAUCUGACUACUCUAGGUACCUCAGAUGAGUGGAAUUAUGCAGUAUUUGUCCUUUUGUGUGUACAACUAAUUUGACAGGCAGUAUGAUAAGGAACAAUCUGAAUGACACGUAAACAGGAGGGGGUAAAUUCCAAGCACAGCCUGAAUGAGAAGUACAACUCAUUUCCUGUAACCUAGAUGCCUUUUUAACACAUCUAUGCAGUCUCCAUGUGAAACCAGGUGCUGUUCCCAAAGGAGAAAACACUGCCCUCCAGUGGUCUUCAAUGAAGAAAUGGAAAUAGUUUCAGGUACCAUGAUAGCAGCAUUUACAUGAAACAUGGUAUAUUUAUCUAGUCUCAUUUUUGGCUGUAUUUCUUAAGCUGAAACACGUCUACAACUGAGCAUAAGGACAAAAUUUCCAAGAUAAAUUCUAAUAGGUGGAAACCAGGCUUCUUGGAAGACUUCAAACUAUGCCAAAUGGUCUGAUUUCACCAUAGAGAAUGUUAUACUAUUAAUUGCCAAUUUGCAUAUGUGUGCAGCUGCUGUUUUGGCUCUGAACUCAAUCCGAUAAGCUUGCUGGAGGUAUCGCAGAGCACUUGGCAGCUUUCCUAUUUGAAAAGAAAGCCUCUCCCCUCUACAGAACAGCUGAUCGUCUAUCAGCGAUAGACCCUGAUGGCGUGAAUUACAAUUACACUACUUUUCACACUAAAUCUGGGUGAUAGCUACUUGGAAAGAAGUUUCAUCAUUUUUUACCACAAACUGGAAAAAGAAUUACAUGGUCAUGCUGUGCUUUUAAAGGCAGUUUGGUUCACUUUUGUCUAUUUAACACCUAAUUCCAAGAAGUCCAUAGGCAUCUAGAGAUCUGAA
This 1225-nucleotide long non-coding RNA is filed under the name Homo sapiens (human). Its description in RNAcentral is "PREDICTED lncRNA (TCONS_00162229)". The record is from RNAcentral. Lineage: Eukaryota; Metazoa; Chordata; Mammalia; Primates; Hominidae.